GAGGAAGGUCCCUGCUGAGGACAGACCUCCAGGAGGGUGGUUGGUCCAGUCCCUAAACGUGUAGUUUCUUCAAGUUUCCUAAUCCUGCCCUGGGUCUGUUGUCACAGAUUUGGAAACUUCUCUGGGCUCCAGGACUAGGAGUUCCUUUAGGACCUCAUGGCCCUGCCUCCUCCCUGUCUUCUCACGGGAUGUUUUCUUCCCACAGGUGGAAAAGGAGGGAGCUAUGCCCAGGCUGCCAGCAGCGAUGGUGCCCGGGGCUCUGAUGUAUCUCUCACGGCUUCUAAAGCCUGAGGCACUUGUCGUGGACCCAGUGAAGGGAGAUUUGUUCACGCUCCCGCUUUGUGCUUCAAGAAUCUCUGAGUUUCCCAGUCU
Long non-coding RNA from Myotis davidii, 372 nucleotides. RefSeq lists it as uncharacterized. The transcript is spliced from 3 exons. The record is from RefSeq and is a predicted model, not a curated record. Lineage: Eukaryota; Metazoa; Chordata; Mammalia; Chiroptera; Vespertilionidae.